UCCACGAACGAGUCGCUCUCCGCCUUCCUGAACUUGCCUCACCGCCGUCUCGCCGCCCAUCUCAGAACUGUCCUUGAUCGCCCCUGUCUGUGGUGGAACGACUCCUCCGUCUUCGCCCAGCCGUCGCCGACUUCCUUCUCCUGUCUUUUCCCCUAAAGCUGCAUCACUAGGAGAGAGGAUGGGGGUGGAGGAUCUAUAGGAUUUUCGAGCGACAACCCACCUAGACAUGGUUGUGGAUAAAGAGAAUAGGAAGCGAGAAGCAGGGGAGAUAGGAGAUGCAAUGAGAACUAGAGAACAGAACAAUGUAGAAGAGAUGUGGUCGAUGAAAUCUAGACAUGCUUGAGUCUCCAUUGGCCAGAUGCUUGAAAUUUUGAAGCAUUCCGCUCAUCAAAAGG
Triticum dicoccoides is the source of this 395-nucleotide long non-coding RNA. RefSeq lists it as uncharacterized. The record is from RefSeq and is a predicted model, not a curated record. The transcript is spliced from 3 exons. Lineage: Eukaryota; Viridiplantae; Streptophyta; Magnoliopsida; Poales; Poaceae.